Molecule: long non-coding RNA, 1455 nt
Organism: Daphnia magna
Lineage: Eukaryota; Metazoa; Arthropoda; Branchiopoda; Diplostraca; Daphniidae
Exons: 8
Source: RefSeq, a predicted model, not a curated record
CUCAAAUUGGUCUCCGCGCGGCAAUUGUUGCUAGAGAUGAAGGGAGAUGGGCAAGACCAUAGCACAGACAACGAAGUGAUUCCAUUCUUGGUCUGUGACCAUAGCAUGAAGUAUACUUCAUAGGUGUUUGUAUAAUCAAUCAAUGCUGGCUGUUCUACACUUGGGGAAUAAUGGUUUGGUGAUUGGAUACAACACCACUUCAAUCCAUAGUGGCAAUUUUCAUUUCCGUGCAAGUGCCCUUCUAACUUUUGACAUAGCAAGGUGAAGAGAAAACUGGGGUUUGCAUGGAUUAAUCCUUGGAAGAAUUCCUCAUCACAGCGAAGUUAACAAAAUCAAAAUCAUUGUACAAUUGGCAUUGUGACAAACAAUGGAGAGAACGAAGCAAUCAAAGAACAGCGUUGUCAUUUUUUGAUUCGCCGCUGGAGAUUCAGAAGCAGAACGCCAUGUCACGAUGUCAGCGUCGAUGAAGGGUAAAUUACCUCAUAUGUAGAAGUCGUGUUUUCUUCAGUUCUAACUUCUAAGGCCAAAAAUGCUAAUUGCUACAAUAAUCAGAAACCCAUUUAAAUAGAUUUGGCAACAAGAUGUUGUUGACUUGUCAUGUCACUAAGGUAAGAAAGAACGGUAAUGCAUUUCGUCGUAUAAAAUCAUUCCUAAAAUUUUCCUAAACAAUGCACACCAAUACCGUCUGACGAUAUACCAUGAGAAUUUUGGUUUGAAUUGAGAACCGUUGUGCUGUUUUUUUUUACACUGAAACUUGCAAAAAGAAAUCUUGAUGAAGUGAUAGAGAACCUACUCCAAAAGCUGUUGCCUUUUUUAUUAUCUUGGCAAGACUCUUGGAAGUCUUUCUGUCGGCUCAUGUUGGAUCAUUGCAAGCUCUUUAUCUGCAUUCACUAUCACCCAUACAGAUUCAGUGGUUUUACAUUUAAAAAGUCAAAGGAAUGGAGCAAGUGAUGAUGGGUACGACAAAUUAAACCUCAGCAUUUCUUCAUUGGCAAAGUUUAUUAUGUACUUGUAUUAUGUAUUAUUUUCAAUGUUAAUAAUCAAUUGUAAAAUUAGCAUUCUCAUUGACGGUGGAAAAAAGCUGAAUUUCCUUUUAUGGGUGCUGAAAAUCUUUUUGAACAUUUUCAACUACUUUUCCAAUAACCCAAGCAAAUGCAGAAGUUUUUUCACAUUGAUAAAUAAUUAUAGUAAAAUGGGAGAGAAUUCUGGUUGAGGCCAGAUACCUGUAAAACCGUAACUGUUGCAAGCACAUGGGAAUAUCUCCACAUUGAUUUUCAUAUGUUGUGAUCUCAUGAUCAAAUUUUGCCAACUAACUACCAAAAAUUGUAUGUAACUAUAUUUGCCCAUGUCAGAAAAUUGCAGAAGGAAAGAGAUAUUGGAAGAAAGCAACUUGCACAUUACCGUUGGUUGCUGCUCCGUCCCGAAGAUAAAAUAUUAAAAUUUUUAUAAAUUGAA